This 2581-nucleotide ribosomal RNA is filed under the name viral metagenome. RNAcentral describes it as "bacterial LSU rRNA". It matches the Rfam family "Bacterial large subunit ribosomal RNA", at positions 171 to 2487 of the family's 2925-position model. The record is from RNAcentral.
GUGGAUGCUGGACCGUAGAGGGUGAGAGUCCCGUAGUCGAAAUGUGUUCCGCCGCCACUACCCACAGGAAGAGAAAACAAAAGUGAUUCCGUUAGUAGUGGCGAGCGAACGCGGAUGGGGCUAAACCGUAUGUGUGUGAUACCCGGCAGGGGUUGCAUGUGCGGUGUUGUGGGCCCCUCCUUGUCAUGUCUGCCGGCAUGGCGCAGUGAGGUGCGGGCAUAUAGACGAACCAGUGUGGAUGCUGGACCGUAGAGGGUGAGAGUCCCGUAGUCGAAAUGUGUUCCGCCGCUGUUGGAGGGUUGCCCGAGUAGCACGGGGCCCGAGGAAUCCCGUGUGAAUCUGCCAGGACCACCUGGUAAGCCUGAAUACUACCUGUUGACCGAUAGCGGAUCAGUACCGUGAGGGAAUGGUGAAAAGUACCCCGGGAGGGGAGUGAAAUAGUACCUGAAACCGGGCGCUUACAAGCCGUCAGAGCCUUUCCUUUGUGGGGGUGAUGGCGUGCCUAUUGAAGAAUGAGCCUGCGAGUUAGCGCCGUGUCGCGAGGUUAACCCUUGGGGGGUAGCCGUAGCGAGAGCGAGUCUGAAAGGGCGAGUUAAGUGGCACGGUCUAGACCCGAAGCGGGGUGAUCUACCCAUGGCCAGGUUGAAGCACGUGUAAGAGCGUGUGGAGGACCGAACCCACCUAGGUUGAAAACUGGGGGGAUGAGCUGUGGGUAGGGGUGAAAGGCCAAUCAAACUCCGUGAUAGCUGGUUCUCCCCGAAAUGCAUUUAGGUGCAGCGUCUCGUGGUCCCCGGCGGAGGUAGAGCUACUGGGUGGCUGAUGGGCCCCACAGGGUUACUGACGUCAACCAAACUCCGAAUGCCGUUCGGGUUAUAGCGGGGCAGUGAGACAGCGGGGGAUAAGCUCCGUUGUCGAGAGGGAAACAGCCCAGAUCGCCGGCUAAGGCCCCUAAGCGUGUGCUAAGUGGGAAAGGAUGUGCGGUCGCGCAGACAACCAGGAGGUUGGCUUAGAAGCAGCCAUCCUUGAAAGAGUGCGUAAUAGCUCACUGGUCAAGUGAUCGUGCGCCGACAAUGUAGCGGGGCUCAAGCACACCGCCGAAGCCGCGGACCCAUCACGUGUUCCCUACCGGGUUUGUCCUGGUCAGGGGUGGUGGGUGGUAGGGGAGCGUCCUGCACCGGGUGAAGCCGCAGAGUGAUCUAGUGGUGGACGGUGCGGGAGUGAGAAUGCAGGCAUGAGUAGCGAUACUAGGGUGAGAAGCCCUAGCGCCGAAUGACCAAGGGUUCCAGGGCCAGGCUAGUCCGCCCUGGGUGAGUCGGGACCUAAGGCGAGGCCGACAGGCGUAGUCGAUGGAUGACGGGUUGAUAUUCCCGUACCGGCGAAGCACCGCCCAUGCUGACGCGCGGGUGCUAACCCACGCCCGGCACCACAAUCGCGCCUUCUGGUGGCUUCGGCUGCCUGUUGGUGUGGUGGUGUGGGGUCUGGGGACCCUCCGUGCAGGUAGGCAAGCGUGUUAACAGGGGUGACGCACAGUGGUAGCCUCCGCGGGCCUAAUGGCUUGGCCCGUUCAAGCGAGCAGCCCGACAGCCAGGCAAAUCCGGUUGUCUUCCUUUGAUGGUAAGGGUCAGACGUGAUGGUGACCUGCCCUUCUCGGGUGGGGAAGUAGGGUGAUCCUGGGGUGCCGAGAAAAGCCUCGACGCGAUGGUGCCAGCCGCCCGUACCCUAAACCGACACAGGUGGUCGGGCAGAGUAUGCCUAGGCGCACGAGUGAAUCAUGGUGAAGGAACUCGGCAAAAUGCCCCCGUAACUUCGGGAGAAGGGGGGCCCGAGCCUUGAAGCCCUUUUUUGCGGGCUAGGGGUGAGGGUCGCAGAGACCAGGGAGAAGCGACUGUUUACUAAAAACACAGGUCCGUGCGAAGCCGCAAGGCGAUGUAUACGGACUGACGCCUGCCCGGUGCUGGAAGGUUAAGAGGAACCGUCAACCCCCGUCGUGGGGUGAAGCGGUGAAUUUAAGCCCCAGUAAACGGCGGUGGUAACUAUAACCAUCCUAAGGUAGCGAAAUUCCUUGUCGGGUAAGUUCCGACCUGCACGAAUGGCGUAAUGAUGGCCAGGCUGUCUCCACCCGAGACUCAGUGAAAUUGAACUCGCUGUGAAGAUGCAGUGUACCCGCGGCAAGACGGAAAGACCCCGUGAACCUUUACUAUAGCUUGACACUGAACAUUGAGCCUUGAUGUGUAGGAUAGGUGGGAGGCUUUGAAGUGUGGACGCCAGUCUGCAUGGAGCCGACCUUGAAAUACCACCCUUUAAUGUUUGAUGUUCUAACGUUGACCCGUAAUCCGGGUUGCGGACAGUGUCUGGUGGGUAGUUUGACUGGGGCGGUCUCCUCCUAAAGAGUAACGGAGGAGCACGAAGGUUGGCUAAUCCUGGUCGGACAUCAGGAGGUUAGUGCAAUGGCAUAAGCCAGCUUGACUGCGAGCGUGACGGCGCGAGCAGGUGCGAAAGCAGGUCAUAGUGAUCCGGUGGUUCUGAAUGGAAGGGCCAUCGCUCAACGGAUAAAAGGUACUCCGGGGAUAACAGGCUGAUA